UAAUCGUGGUUGCAGGGAACAUGCGCGCAUGUCAUCGAUGAGUUGUUGAUGAAGAAGCUGAUGCAUUUUUGAGUGGGCUGCAAACGGAUAGAAGAAUAUAAAGCAGAAAUCAAUAGACUUGAAGCAUCCCAGGCAGAAAUUAAAGCACUAGCUGUUAAUUAUGCUGCUCUAUUAAAAGAAAAAGAGGUAUGGAUGGUAUUUGUUAAUUUGGUGUGGUUCAUGUCUUCAUGUUAGUUUGCUUUUUAAUUUAUUUGACAAUGAACUGUAGUUUAGCAAACUUUAUAUGUUAUUAUUUUUCAA
Long non-coding RNA from Glycine soja, 300 nucleotides. RefSeq lists it as uncharacterized. NCBI's taxonomy places the organism in Eukaryota, Viridiplantae, Streptophyta, Magnoliopsida, Fabales, Fabaceae. The record is from RefSeq and is a predicted model, not a curated record. The transcript is spliced from 2 exons.